CAUUUAUGACAUAUAAAAUCAUAAUUACAUGUCGCAUUACAGCCAAAACCAGAUUUUUUUUUAGUACAUAAUAAUAAUAAAUUAAUAUGUGAUCUGCGUGUUUUUUUAUGGUAGUUACUAAUGUUUGUGCUGUUCCGUUGUCAUUACGUCAAUUAGUAGGCCAACCCAGUGGUUUUCAGAAAAGCGUCUUUGAUUACAAUGAGGUCUGUGCAUAACGUUUCCUGAAACAAUGUUCACGCUGUGUUCAACAAUAUGAAUGAUUAUGAAAAUAAAUCCAACACCGCCAUUCUGAAAAACCCAUAGGAAAUUCCCGAGGAAACCCGUGGCUCAUAAACGUUGAGAAAUGUGUCACGUGUACACUUUUAUAAGGCCCCGCUCACUCACCAGAAUUCCUUUAUUCUUGUAAUAAGAGCUGAGCGGCUUUAGCGUCUUAUGAAUACACUCUGUCCCGCGGAUGCAUUUCACGCGCGUCCCGUCACCGGUGCUCAGAUUUGCAAAACAAACCCUGCUUACGGAGUCACGUGACACAGCUUUACGUCCGAUUGUGACCUCUGGUAAAGGGCAUGCAGCAGACUAUCGUCUAGGGCCACGUUUGCAGGGAUUAGUACUAAUUCCCAUUUCGCCUAGUGAUCCUCUUCCAGUCAGUAAUACAGUCCCAAGGGUUUGGGCCUAAUAAUCACUUUUAGGAUGUGCUUAUAAAUGCAAGAUGGAUGACGGAUGAGUACUUGCGUCUGGAAAUGUGGUAAGACACACACAGCCUCUCACCAUUAUGAGAUGGUUCUCCACAGAAAGAAGCAAUUGUUCCUUAUUGAACUACAUAUGAAAAAAAAUAAGACACUUUUGUAAUCAGCUUUACUUUAGCACUGUAUGCCAAAUUCAUAUACUAUCUGUUCUAAAUAUUAUAUCAGAUUAGAAUUAGUAUGUCCAAAUCAUAGUAUGUUAAAAAUAGUUAAUAGGAAUGACAAAUAACCAUGCCAAAUUAGGUUUAGACUUCCCAAAUAUUAAUUUGAUACAUUUUGGCCACAAGCAUUUACACUAUAUUUCUGUGCUAUUUUAUUAAUAUACACUACUGUUCAAAACUCAAAAGUAUGGAAUAAUUCAGAUUUUUAACUGUUUAUUUGAUAAAAAAAAAUACAGUAAAAACAAUCAUGUGAAAUACUUUAGCAUUUAAAAGAACAGUUUCAAUUUGAAUAUAUUUGAAAAUGUAAUUUGAGUAGAAUGUUUUACUUCAAUUUUAGAAUUCUUUGAUUAAUUAAAAGAUAUAACAAAAUAACAGCAUUUAUGUGAAUUAGAAAUCCUUUGUCAGCAUAUUAGAAUUUAGAAUCAUUUCUGAAGGAUCAUGUGACUCUUAAGACUGGAGUAAUGGCUACUAAAAAUUCAGCUUUGGAUCACAGGAAUAAAUUGCAUUUUAAAAUAUUAACA
Molecule: long non-coding RNA, 1422 nt
Organism: Cyprinus carpio (common carp)
Lineage: Eukaryota; Metazoa; Chordata; Actinopteri; Cypriniformes; Cyprinidae
Source: Ensembl